This is a non-coding RNA of Callithrix jacchus (white-tufted-ear marmoset), 6206 nucleotides long. The record is from RefSeq and is a predicted model, not a curated record. NCBI's taxonomy places the organism in Eukaryota, Metazoa, Chordata, Mammalia, Primates, Cebidae.
GGGGAGAGCGUGCCAGCGGCGUGGCCGCCAUCUUGUUUGUGUCCCUCGCUUCCUGUGCGUCGGUUCUCUCCCAUUCAGGCUUUCCCCUUCCUUCCGCCAUGCCUGGGUCUGUGCAUUGCCCUACUCCGCAGGAGCUCCUGCUGUUCCUGGACUCUUAAGCAAAGGCGUUUCAAACCAGGAAGGGACAUCAGAGGAACAGAUGUUCAGCUGAGAGAUGGAGCCAGGACUAGAAGAAAGGUAUUUUGUUGCUGCUUCUGUGCCCAGAGAAAUGAGGACGCUGGUUCACAGGAAACAAGAUGCAGGACUCCCUUCAGCAUGUCUUGUAAGACAAAAAACUCAAUAUUGUCAGGAUGUCAGUUCUUCCCAACUAAACCUAUUGAUUCAAUGAAAUCACAAUGACAAUAUCAGAAAGUUUUUUAUGGAUAUCAGCAAUCUAAUUCUAAAAUGUAUAUAGAGAGACAAGUGACUCAGAAUAACCAACACAACGUUUGAAGGAGCAGAACAGAGUUGGAGGACUGACAGUAUCCAACUUCAAGACUUACUGUGAAGCUACAGUAACCAAGGUGUAGUUCUACUGGUGAAAGAAAAGACAAUGUGUUCCAUGGCUCCCAGUGCCCUCUGGAUCAACUCCAAGCUCUUUCAUUUGACAUUGGCAUAAAUGUCCACUCUGUUACUUGAACUCACAUCCCAGAGAAGCCCACCUUGCUCAGCAGAAGCACAUCAAUGAAGUCUAAAGUCUUGGACUUUGCCUUGUCCUUGAAGAAGUCAUCAGUACCCUGAGUGGGGAGGGUACGGCGCCGCUCCUGGAUGACAGCAUCUGUGAAGUCGUGCACCAGGCGGCAGGCCCUGCGGAAGCGCUGCCCAUCAGGAGUCAGAUAAUACAGGAAGUCCGAGUGCAGGAGAAUCUGCUGGUUUCUUUUUUCUACAAAGGCACUGAGUUCCAAGAUGGCGGCAAUAUACUUACUGGGCUUCCUGUAUGAAGGAGAUAACAACUUAACAUAUGCAAAGUCCCAGGAGCACUUCUCACCAGCAGCUAGAAGCUACCGCCCAUCAGGAAAUUGAGCAUCCAGAAACAGCCAGGAGACUUGACUCUCCAAACUCUCUUCUCUCCAGGCACCCUAUCUCUGAGAGCUGCCUCCAUGCACCAAGAUGCUCAGAGUACAGCUUGCACACCAUGCUUCUCUCCUGUCUCUCACACCCGGUAUUCAGUCUGGACUCUUCAUUCCAAAAACUGUUCAAAAAACUCAGACCUCACCAUCUUUCAACUCUUUCUGGCUCAUCCCCCACCAUAACCAACUUGCAUCCAAUGUCAGCCCCAUGUAAUGUCUACAUGACAGGCAGACCUCCACAGAGCUCAGCUGUGACCGUAUAUGUCAUCAGCUCAGACUCCAAAAGAUUCCUGGGAACCUCUUAAUAAAGUUCAUUCCGCUUUUCCUGAUUUUGUGUCCUGAAAUCUAGCCCUGUCUACUUCCACCACCUCAUUUCUACUCUCUGUUACACAUCCUUGCCUCGUCCUAGCCUUCUUGCCUAUUAUUCAGUUAUUUCUACCUACUUGAAAGGACCAUGCUUCCUCUCUCCCCUUCCCCACCCUUCAAAGCCCUGUGACACAAUUCCUUCAGGAAGGCACUUCUGGUUACCCUGGUCAGUCAUCCCUUUCCAACCUACUCCCUUGAGAUCAUGGCCCAAGUUCUCAGGCCUGAGGGAAGGACUCACUCCUGACAAUUGCUAUCAAAGCUGAAGACACAUUUCUGCAGACUGUCCAAGGUCAUGAGGCUGAUGUGCUCAAACAUGUCCAGUCUGGUGCUGCCCUCUGAGGCCAGGCGCUGCCACUUGUCCUGGCCAGAGGAAAAAGAAAAACAGAGCUGAAGUUGAGUACUGCCUCCUGAGAACUCCUUCCCAGACCCAGACAUCAAGAUGUAUCUCCUGCAAUCAUCCUCUGGGUCUCUGCCCCAGGCACCCAUCCCCAGGGAGGACCAGCCUUGGAUAGCAGCGGAGACUGUUACUGUUAGGAGGUAAGCUCAUGGCUGGCAGUCGAGAGACCUGGGAUCAAAUCCUACCUCAGCCUCCUGAGGGAAGGUGUUCUCUUUCCAGGAUACACAAGGGGGCAUAGUUUUAAGAGCAAGAAUUUCCUAGCGCCAUGCCCCCCACUCAUCUCUCUCCAUCUGGGAAAUUUAAUGGUUUAUGUUUGAAUUUUGCAGGCAUGGGAAGAAACUAAGAGCCACUCCAGUAGAAGUUCUAAGGAACUCCUUUUAUUGGCCAGGGGUCUUGGAGAAUGUAGGGGUUCCUUCCAGGUUAAAAGUCCUUUUCUUCCACACCACUUCAGACUCCAUGUUUGGGUCCCCUUCCACGAACACUCUCGUGGAAGCCAUCUUUCUCUCGCCUGGAUUUCCCCUCUGGGGUCCCCUUCCACACUCUCUCAUGGAAGCCUGUCUUCCCCUCCUAAACUCCAUCUCUCUCUAUUCCCUUCCACUCAGUGUGGAAUCUGCUUUCCUAUUCUGGAUUCCAUCUUUCUGGAACCUCUCACUUGGCAUGAUAGUUAGCUGUUUCUUUCUCCCCCUGUUUCUCUAUCUCUAAAUAAAUAAAUCACUUUCUACAAAUCCUUUGAGUCCUGCAAUUACUGCACACUGUGCCGUGGUCCCCACUCUCAUUCUUGAGAGGGCAGGAGGCCAAGAACCUGGAGAAACGUCCUCUCAGGGGAGCUGAGGGCACCACGAAACCCUGAACCCCAAUAUUACAUUUUGGAAAGCCAGCCAGGAAAGGGGUACACCAGAAGAGGGGUACAGCCAGGAAAGGGGUAGAGCCAGAGAAGAAGACGUCAAAAUCGUGAGGAAAACCAACCCCAUUCUGUCCUGUCUCUUUAUGAACACCUGCAGUGGUGCGGCUGGGCAGGGCAUUGGACCGGAGAAGUGGUGCCUCAGAGGCAUGACCCAGCCCUGAGGGGGGUGGCCAGAAUUAAGAGCACAGUUUCUUUACCUUCAAGCUCUCUCUGCUUUCUGUCUCCUUCUCUAUCCUUCAGAUAUUAUCUCUGGGACCAAAGCCUGAGGGAGCCUGUGGGGCAGAGUGGGUGAGCACAGCCCUGGGGCUUUUUGCUCCUUGCUGGCCCGGAACAGCCGAGCCCCAGGGGCAGAAGCGAGUGCGCAGCCGUGGGCUGGAGAAAACAGUGGGGAGGGGCAAGGUGCACCCGGAGCCUGCAGGGGACUAGGGAGACUGGCGGCCUGGCACAUGGCUCUGCAGUCUCAGGCAGCAGGGUAAAAAGGCUCCCCAGGGCGUUUGCCUGCAGGCCACAGGUCCCUUUGUGGGCAGUAGCUCGGGAAGUGGCCCAGACGUGCAAGUGGUUCUGGUGAGGUCAACAUGGCGACUGAAUGCCACGGGGGCGGGGGAACUCACAUUGGCCCAGCAGCCUCGAACACGACUUUUAAAGUGAUGUGGCAAAUGGGUUUUUUCCUCUGCCGGUGUGCGGUUCUAAGGGAACAGAAGCCACUGAAGUGGCUGCUGGCUGUCAGCCCUGCCUGACUUUUAGGCAGGCCACACCACCUCAAGGUGCAGUGUGCAGCUUAAGAAACCUUUCUGCCUUCCCUUAUGCAGGUGGCCGAUUGCACAGCUGGUUAAGGGGUAGGAGCUGCAAGGUUGCUGGUUCAAAUCGCCGGUGGGGUCGGUCUUGAAUUGUUGAGAUCUUUUGGGGAAAUGCAGAAGCUGAAGGCUCUGGGACUUUGUGUUUGGUGUAUAAUUUGUCUUGCUUAGGAUUGGCUCUCUCUCUGGCAGAACGUUUCCACCUGGAAGAUCAUAGUCAAACCAGUUCCAGGACCAAAUAGUCAAUGGCAGCUCUCACAAUCUUAAGAGCAUUUUCUUACAAUGGAAAAUGGGUUAGGGGAGAGGAGGCCCCCGUCCUGAGGGUAUUGUUCCGGCCUCAGCCAUGCCCCGCCUGCCUUCCUUGAGCUGUGUGCUCUAACGGCCCCUCCCUAGAAGUUCACUUCACCCUUCUGGGGCAGUUUUAUAAUCUGUCUUGCGCAAAUUGGACUUUUCCUGGGAAAUAUUGGUACCUAUAUCCUGAGCCUCACUGGCCUCGUUGGGGCUCCUUGGUAUGUGACUACCCAGCCCAACAGCUCCUCUCGUUCCAUGACUCUAUGGUAUUCACUGGAGGUCAUGCAGUGAGUGGUCCCACGACGCUGGCAGGUCGUGAUUGGAAUCCAGUACAUGGGAGCCCCUCUGAUAAGAUGGAUCAUGCAUUUUGGACACACAAAAUUUCGGGGUACUGACUGAAAGACGUUUCACGUCUACCCAUUUUACCCAGGGGACACCUCAGGUCAAAGUGGCUGUAAUUUCUUUAACCGGGGAUGUGGGCAUCCCUUGUGUUCAAUUUCAGAUGGGUGCUUCUCUUCCCAAGCUCAAGUCUCCAUUAAAAUGUAUACUGGAAAACUGGGACCAAUUUAGCACAUGGUCCUUAAAGAAGAAGUGGCUUAUUUUUCUCUGCCUAACAGAGUGGCCAAAUUACCCUCUGCUGAAUGGAAAAUCUAACCAAGGGAAGAAAACCCAACAGUUUUCCUUGAGUGAUUGCGGGAGGCUUAAGGAAGUACACCCCCAUCACCAGACUCUAUAGAGGCUCAGUUAAUACUAAAGGACAAGGUUAUUACUUAGUCAGCAGCAAAUAUCAGGAGGAAGCUCCAGUAGCUGGCGUUGGGACCAGAGCAGAGCCUAGAAUCAUUACUGAACCAGGAAACCUCAGUGUUUUAUAAUAGAGACCAGAAGGAACAGGCUGAAAGAAAUCUGAGAGAUCAGCCUUAGUCAUGGCUUUCAGGCAAGCAGACCCUAGGGGCUCAAAUGAGGGAAAGACUUGGGUUAGCCACUAGUCUGGCAGAACUUAUUACCAGUGCAGCCUGACGGGACAUUUUGUAAGAAAUUGUCCCCAGAGGAAUGGACCACCAUCUCAUCCAUGCCUGCUGUGCCAAGGGAAUCACUGGAAAACACAGUGUCCCAGGGGACGAUGGUUCUCAGGGCCUGAGGUGUCUGACCAGAUGACCCAGGGGCAGGACAGAGGGUUCCUGGAGCAAGUACCAGCACAAGUUGUCACCCUCACAGAGCCCCAGGUAAAGCUGACCAUAGAGGUCCAAGAAGUCAGUCUUUUCCUCGACACUGCAUGGCCUUCUCGGUAUUUCUCUCCUGCCCUGGAGACUUGGUGCUUGUUCAUUUUCUCCCCUCAGAUCCUCCCUCUCUAGGCUGAUCCUGGGAAGGCCAUUUCAGUCAUUCUGUCCACUCCAGCGGCAGUUAAGGUAGUGGAAAUAGACUGAUGGAUUCAUCACACUGUGCUGAAGCCUUGGAUAUCCCCUGAAGAAAGUCACAGACCCUGCAUUCCACAGCAUGAAGUUCUAGGAGACAACCCUUCAUAUCCCUGUGAGCCAUUAGAAAAAUCUACACCUGCUUUUCCAGAUCCUUAGGGUCCACAAGGGGGCGCAGUUUUAAGAGCAAGAAUUUCCCAGCGCCAUGCCCUCCUCGCAUCUCUCCAUCUGGGAGAUUCAACACUUAUGUUUGAAUUUCGUGGACACGGGAAGAAACUAAGAGUCGAUCACUCCAGCAGAAGUUCUAAGGAACUCCUUUCAUUGGCCAGAGGUCUUGGAGAAGGUGAGGGUUCCUCUCAGGUUAAAAGUCGCCUUCUUUCACACCCCUUCGGACUCUGUGUUUGGGUCCCCUUCCAUUAGUACUCUCCUGGAAGCCAUCUUUCUCUUUCCUGGAUUUCCCCUCUGGGGUCCCCUUCCACACUCACUCUUGGAAGCCUGUUUUCUCCUCCUAAACUCCAUCUCUCUCUAUUCCUUUCCACUCAGUGUGGAAGCUGCUUUCCUUUCCUGGAUUCCAUCUUCCUGGAUUCUCUUACUCAGCAUGAGAGUUAGCUGUUUCUUUCUCUCUCCUCCUGUUUCUCUCUCUCUAAAUAAAUAAAUCACUUUCUACAAACACUUUUCAGUCUGGCAUUUACUGUGCACUGUGCCGUGGUCCCCUCUCUCAUUCUUGAGAGACCAGGAGGCCAAGAACCUGGAGAAACAUCCUCUCAGGAGAGCUGAGGGCACCCUGAACCCCAAUAUUGCACUCCUGUGGUCUUUGUGCUCUUUGUCAAUCUCCUGCACUCCUGUAGGUUCCAUCUAUCAAAUCUUCAGUAACAGUUAGGACAGCCUGCUCUGGGGACAGAUAAACCAAGGUACAAUCACUGCUACACCUCU